UAUGACUAUAUCACGUUGGAACACCGGUUCCCAUACGAAGUUAAGCAACGUCGAGCCUGGUCAGUACCCAGAUGGGUGACCGCUUCGGAAUACUGGCUGAUGUA
Molecule: non-coding RNA, 104 nt
Organism: Acanthosepion pharaonis
Lineage: Eukaryota; Metazoa; Mollusca; Cephalopoda; Sepiida; Sepiidae
Source: the annotation of a GenBank genome assembly